This 216-nucleotide unclassified non-coding RNA is filed under the name Hevea brasiliensis (rubber tree). The record is from RNAcentral. Lineage: Eukaryota; Viridiplantae; Streptophyta; Magnoliopsida; Malpighiales; Euphorbiaceae.
GGGACUGCGUUACUGCAUCAAUUCCGCGGCAUUGAAACUCGAGCCCAAGUAAACCGGGCGUAAACACGUCUCUCUUUCAGAGAAAAUUUGAAUCCGCGCGGCUUGUCUCAGGCCGCGCGGCUCCUAUCUCUGCGUUCCGUUCGUACGCGAACGGUAAAAAACGCCAACAAGAAACGCGCCCAAAGAACUUCUGCAUUUUAAGGAAUUCAUGAUGUC